This 101-nucleotide non-coding RNA is filed under the name Clunio marinus. Its description in RNAcentral is "Eukaryotic large subunit ribosomal RNA". It matches the Rfam family "Eukaryotic large subunit ribosomal RNA", at positions 1456 to 1556 of the family's 3401-position model. The record is from Rfam by way of RNAcentral. Lineage: Eukaryota; Metazoa; Arthropoda; Insecta; Diptera; Chironomidae.
GGUAGUAGCAAAUAUUCGAAUGAGAUCUUGGAUGGCUGAAGUGGAGAAGGAUUUCGUGUCAACAGCAGUUGAACACGAGUUAGGCAGUCCUAAGCUCUAAG